AAGACCUUGCGCUUUUGGAGCGGCCGAUGCCUGAUUAGCUUGUUGGUAAGGUAAAAGCUUACCAAGGCUUCGAUCAGUAGCUGGUCUGAGAGGACGGCCAGCCACACUGGGACUGAGACACGGCCCAGACUCCUACGGGAGGCAGCAGUGGGGAAUUUUGGACAAUGGGGGCAACCCUGAUCCAGCCAUGCCGCGUGAGUGAAGAAGGCCUUCGGGUUGUAAAGCUCUUUCAGCCGGAACGAAACGGUUACGGUUAAUACCUGUGAUUACUGACGGUACCGGAAGAAGAAGCACCGGCUAACUACGUGCCAGCAGCCGCGGUAAUACGUAGGGUGCGAGCGUUAAUCGGAAUUACUGGGCGUAAAGGGUGCGCAGGCGGUUUUGUAAGUCAGAUGUGAAAUCCCCGGGCUUAACCUGGGAACU
RNAcentral lists this ribosomal RNA (423 nucleotides) under uncultured bacterium. RNAcentral describes it as "bacterial SSU rRNA". It matches the Rfam family "Bacterial small subunit ribosomal RNA", at positions 207 to 622 of the family's 1533-position model. The record is from RNAcentral.